This is an RNA transcript of Carassius carassius (crucian carp), 4542 nucleotides long. It is a transcript of the gene named Rho guanine nucleotide exchange factor (GEF) 10-like b, with no coding region annotated. The transcript has 28 exons. NCBI's taxonomy places the organism in Eukaryota, Metazoa, Chordata, Actinopteri, Cypriniformes, Cyprinidae. The record is from RefSeq and is a predicted model, not a curated record.
CAAAGAAAGGAAAAAGGGAGGGACUGAGGAAAAAGAAUAGAGGGAGAAGAGUUUUCAUAUAUGUGGGAGAAGCCGUGUCAGUUAAUGGACUGGGAGACCCAGAACUUUGUUCCUUCACUAAAAGAAACAUUUGAAAUCAGCUCUUCACAAUUGCUGUGCUUUCUGAGGAAGACAGUGGUGUCAUCAAUGUUAGAUUCACAGAUGGCUGCACUGCGCAAAGAUGGGAGCAGACAUGACAAUGGAUUUAUAUUGAUAGCUUGUGAUCAAUAAGGACAAUAUCAGAGGGGUGACAUUUAAGGGACGUAAAGCCAGGCUUGUGAGAGUGCCGAUAUGACUACAUAUUAACUUCAUGGCAUCUCCACAGCCUCUUAACCCUCCUGAAAAAGAGUCCAUGGUCACUUCUGUGACUCAGAAGGCCCAGGAGGAGGAAGAAGAUGAUGAUGAAGAUGAGGAAACUGGCGAGAAGUUUGAGUUUGAUGACAGCGAAGAUGAGCAGAAAACAGUGGAGAACUCUGUUGAGAAUAAAGAGUCAGGAACUCCUCAUGUGGAAGCUGAGCAUUCAGAAAAUACUAAUGGUAGCACUGCCAUAAAUGCACUUUAUUGUCAAGCUAUGAAGCGUAAUCAGCAGGCGGUAAACGGAGGGAGCCCUGCUGGUCUGGAGGACCAAAAUAUCCCCACACAUCCUCACACAACAAACUCAGAGAUGGUGGCCAGACAAUCUCCUGAUGGGUGUUCUGUCUCGACGGAGCCUAGAGUAGCUGAUGAACAAGCAAGCCUUUGGAAAAGAAAUAACAUUUAUGAAGCCCCAGUGCACUCUCGGGAAUGGUUCAGUGUGGUUUCAGAGCUCACUCUGCGACUGCAUAAAGGGAAAGCCAUUCCUGAAUCAGAGGAAAAUUCACCCUCUGAACAACUGAAACAGAACUCAGCUCCUCCUGCUCGCUCAGAGGUCAUCUACGAUGAUGUGCCUUGUGAGAACAUCACGCCACCAGAUGCAGAGGAUGAUGUGAUCUACGAGGAGGUGCAGAGGUCUGGUGAGUCUGGACUGAUAGACAACGGCUGGGGCUCCAGUGAGUUUGAGAGUUACGACGAGCAGUCAGAUAGUGAGACGAAGCAGCCCACCCGCAAUAAGAUUUCCCCAGAUGUACGACGUCUAAAGCAACGAUGUGUCCAGACCAGGCGUGAGCUAGCCAUGCGGUUAGGGGCUCGAGAUGUCGGCCAACUCAAACAAAACUAUGACAUUAAGGUUCAACAGCUCAUGAAAGCAGCUAGGAAUGGCACGAAAGAUGGACUGGAAAAGACCAAAAUAGCCAUGAUGCGAAAAGUGUCCUUCCUGAGUAAAAAAGACUGCACAGAUGACACAGAGGAAGAUUCUGGAUAUCUGGAUGUGACUGUAUCUGAACUCAAACAUCCACCACCUCAACUUUCUCCGAUGCCAGAAGGGCUCAGUAGCCAACAGGUUGUCAGGCGUCAUAUUCUUAGCUCUAUCAUCCAGAGUGAAAGAAGCUACUUAGACUCUCUCAAGAGGAUCCUGCUGGAAUAUAAGAAGCCUUUGAUGGAGGCGGAGCCGCGGAUCCUGAGCUUGAAGAAGAUCCAGCCUGUUUUUUAUAGACUGAAGGAGAUCCUGCAGUGUCACUCCAUGUUUCAGAUUGCUCUGGCCUCCCGUGUAGCAGAAUGGGAUCAUACUGAGAAAAUCGGAGACCUUUUUGUUGCUUCAUUUUCCAAAUCGAUGGUGCUAGAUGUGUACAGCGACUAUGUCAACAACUUCACCAAUGCUAUGGCUCUUAUUAAGAAAGCUUGUAUGUCCAAGCCAGCAUUCCUGGAGUUUCUCAAGAAGAAGCAGGCUGCCAGUACAGACAGAAUCACUCUUUAUGGCCUGAUGGUCAAACCAAUUCAGCGCUUUCCUCAGUUCAUACUCCUACUGCAGGACAUGCUGAAAAACACCCCUGUGGGGCAUCAGGACAGACUGCCGCUGCAGCUGGCCCUCACUGAGCUCGAGACUCUCGCCGAGAAACUGAACGAGCAGAAACGGCUGGCCGAGCAGCUCGCUGAAAUCCAUCAGCUCACUCGCAGCGUCAGUGACCGUAACCUCAGUAAGCAACUGAACUCUGAUCAGAAGCAGUUGAUUCUGUCUGAGACACUUAUUGAGACCGUCUUUGGCGAGAAAGGUCAAGUCCUCAAGUCUAAGGAGCGCAAAGUCUUCCUCCUGAAUGACAUGCUCGUCUGUGCAAACAUCAAUGUGAAGGGCCCACCAGAUAUCAGCAGCCUAGUCCCCAUCGGUCCAAAAUACGCAGUUAAAUGGAGUGCCCCCCUGCUGCAAGUGCAAGUGGUGGAGGUGGGCCAGGAGACCCCCCAGCAUAAAGACAGCGUCUACCAGCAGAGUGGAAGCAAGCGCCUGAGCUCCACCAACUCUCAAGGAAAGCUGUUUCUGGGACCACCGCGGCUAUAUCAGGAACUGCAGGAGUUACAGCAUGAUCUUUCUGUGGUGGAGGAAGUCACGUUGUUAGUGGGCACCAUGCAGGGAUCGUACCAGAAUCUCAACACUACGGUGGGGCAGGACUGGUGCAUGGCUCUUCAGAGGCUCAUCCGCAUCAAAGAGGACGAGAUCCAGUGUGCCAACAAGUGCCGUCUACGGCUGAUGGUUCCUGGGAAGCCUGACAAGUCUGGACGUCCAGUCAGUUUCACAGUGGUCUUUAGUACGCCCAGUCCAAUUAGCAAAAUCUCCUGGGUCAAUCGCCUGCAUCUGGCCAAAAUCGCCCUGAGAGAGGAGAACUUGCCUGGCUGGGUGUGUGUAGAGGAUGAUGAAAAGACUAAGCCUCCAUUCUGGUGCCCGUUACUGGCCUGCCGGUUGCCUGUGUUUACCCCAAAAAUGCAAGAUCUGAAGUUGCAGGCUGCCCUGUAUAACCCGGUCCACUGUUCUCUUCUUGGUUUUUCGGCCGCUAGCACAUCCUUGCCUCAGGGCUACCUCUGGGUGGCUAGUGGGGGUGACGACUCUCACGGGCAGGUGGAGAUUUUCUCCCUUAACAGACCCACUCCACGCUCCGUUAAGAGUUUCUCUCUAGGUUCCCCAGUGCUUUGUCUGGAGUAUAUCACAGAGCCCAGCACUGAUGAAGAACUGGAAACACAAACCUCUGAAAUUCAUUCCAAGAUUGGUAACACCAUCUGUGUAGGAUUAUUGGAUGGCAACAUCCUGGUUUAUGGAAGCGUGGACACCGCUGCUCAGUGUCUGCUAACAUUUUGUAACCCAGAGUGCUGCCCAGUUCUGUGCCUAAAACAAUCUACAAACUUUCUCUUCGCUGGACUGAGUAAUGGAAAAGUCGCUGUUUAUAACCGAAAGAGUGGAGAGGGGUUGUGGGAUCCAGAUUCCUGCAGACAUGUGGUUAUUGGAUGCGCUCCCGUACUCAAACUCCUCCAAAUAGACGAGUGUGUGUGGGCCAGCUGUGCCAACCAGGUCUCUGUGAUUGAAGGCUCCUCUCUCACGACUCAGAGUUUUGAAGUUCAUCCAAACCCCAUGGUUGGUGUGACCCACAUGGUGCGCGCCGGAGGAGGGGUGUGGAUGGCGUUUUCAGAGGGAUCAUCCCUACGUCUGUUUCACACAGAAACAUUGGAACACCUCCAAGAGAUCAACAUUUCAACACCCUCUGCAUAUUUGAGCCCUGGCAAGUCCAAUAUGUGAUUAUGCUGCAUGAUAUGAAUUCUGUAGGAUAAUGUUUUGGCACACAGGUCCUCAAAGGGGCAGGAGUGGCAAGUACAUCUACAAAAAUGUUUUAAACGGAGCAGGAGUUGGUAGCAAAAUUAAUUAAAAAAAAUAAAUAAAUAAAGACAAUUCAUCAUAUUUUCUUCAUAGGACAAAAAACUGUGUGUGUAACCAGCCUGCUUAUCUGCCAAGGACUGUUGUGGGUUGGCACAGCUCAGGGCAUUAUUGUCACCCUGCCGGUGCCCAGACUGGAGGGCAUUCCCAAAAUAACAGGAAAAGGCAUGACGUCACUUAACGCUCACAACGGCCCUGUUGAAUUCUUGGUUGCCACCUCCAGCAUUCUAUCCCAAGAUUUUCUAAAGCGGGAUUCUGCAAUGGAAGGUGGGGAUUCAAGCAGUGGCGCUGAAGAUAAGGAGGCGACAGAUUCUUUUCAGGAGUCCCUCCAGCAGGCGGAUGGCUCUCCUCAGGCAGAAGCUAAAGCUAAAGGAGUCCUACUGCAGUACCACCUCCGUUCUACCUCUCAGCUCCCAGGAAAGCUCCUGACGGCUCGGCCCGAAGAAACAUCCGACUCGACCCAGGACUCUCUGGAGCACACCCUAGAGGACGGUUCCAUCUAUGAGCUGAGUGAUGACCCUGAGGUUUGGGUCAAAGGGCCUGGGCCAUCAUCUAAAGAAGCGGGACGUAGGGAGAAAGUGACUUCAACCGCCGUUAUAUCCGGUGGAAAAGGGUUCCGUCGACUUGCUAAUUCCUCCAACUCUUCUGACUCCAACGAGAACAUGCUCAUGGUCUGGCAGCUGCCCAUUACAGUUUGAGGCAGUAAUGAAAUCUCCUUCCUUUGGCUUUCAUCA